This 76-nucleotide transfer RNA is filed under the name Clostridium sp. CAG:533. RNAcentral's name for it is "transfer RNA-Gln(TTG)". It matches the Rfam family "tRNA". From Rfam's summary of the family: Transfer RNA (tRNA) molecules are approximately 80 nucleotides in length. Their secondary structure includes four short double-helical elements and three loops (D, anti-codon, and T loops). RNAcentral also lists the same sequence under 2 other names. Lineage: Bacteria; Bacillati; Bacillota; Clostridia; Eubacteriales; Clostridiaceae. The record is from RNAcentral.
UGCCUUGUAGCCAAGCGGUAAGGCAUCAGACUUUGACUCUGACAUUUCGGCGGUUCGAAUCCUCCCAAGGCAGCCA